AUGCCGCUGAUGCCUCCUCCACCUCCACCUCCAAGCGCUGGCGACCUUCUUCCUCCCCCGGCGCUUGUCCUCUCCGCUCGCUGCCUUCCAAGAGUGCCGCUACCGUUGGCGACCAGACCAGCAGAGGAACGCCGCCGGCAGAGGAUGAGGAGUCCUUCCUUCUCCACCAUGAAGCACUCCUCCUUCCACUCCUCGCCGCCGAAGUCGGAUGCGUGCGGAGAUGCAGUUGAAGGAAAGGGGCGGGCCUCAAGGCCGGACCUCAAGGAGAUGCAGCACCGGAACAUCAUCAGGCUGCAGGACGUGGUGCAUAACGAGAAGAGGGAGGGCGCCAUGCCGAAGAAGGAGGGACCUUGCGGCCAUUGCGGAGUCACAAGUGAAGUGCGAAUCCAUGUUCGAAGCUGUGAAGCAUAUCGACAAAGAGUAGCAUAUUAUGUGUUGUAA
This 441-nucleotide ribosomal RNA is filed under the name Triticum aestivum (bread wheat). RNAcentral's name for it is "partial small subunit ribosomal RNA". Lineage: Eukaryota; Viridiplantae; Streptophyta; Magnoliopsida; Poales; Poaceae. The record is from RNAcentral.